GUGAAGCGGGAAAAGCUCAAAUUUAAAAUCUGGCGGUCUCUGGCCGUCCGAGUUGUAAUCUAGAGAAGUAAUGCCCGUGCUGGACCGUGUAUAAGUCUCCUGGGAUGGGGCGUCAUAGAGGGUGAGAAUCCCGUCUUUGACACGGACUACCAGUGCAUUGUGGUAUGCUCUCAAAGAGUCGAGUUGUUUGGGAAUGCAGCUCAAAAUGGGUGGUAAAUUCCAUCUAAAGCUAAAUAUUGGCGAGAGACCGAUAGCGAACAAGUACCGUGAGGGAAAGAUGAAAAGAACUUUGGAAAGAGAGUUAAACAGUACGUGAAAUUGCUGAAAGGGAAACGCUUGAAGUCAGUCGCGUUGGCCGGGGAUCAGCCUUGCUUUUGCAUGGUGUACUUUCUGGUUGACGGGUCAGCAUCAAUUUUGACCGCUGGAAAAAGACCUGGGGAAUGUGGCAGCUUCGGCUGUGUUAUAGCCCCUAGUCGCAUACAGUGGUUGGGAUUGAGGAACUCAGCACGCCGCAAGGCCGGGUUUCGACCACGUUCGUGCUUAGGAUGCUGGCAUAAUGGCUUUAAGCGACCCGUCUUGAAACACGGACCAAGGAGUCUAACAUGCCUGCGAGUAUUUGGGUGGAAAACCCAAGUGCGUAAUGAAAGUGAAAGUUGAGAUCCCUGUCGUGGGGAGCAUCGACGCCCGGACCAGAACUUUUGGGACGGAUCCGCGGUGGAGCAUGUAUGUUGGGACCCGAAAGAUGGUGAACUAUGCCUGAAUAGGGUGAAGCCAGAGGAAACUCUGGUGGAGGCUCGUAGCGAUUCUGACGUGCAAAUCGAUCGUCAAAUUUGGGUAUAGGGGCGAAAGACU
RNAcentral lists this ribosomal RNA (852 nucleotides) under Agaricus dolichocaulis. Its description in RNAcentral is "partial large subunit ribosomal RNA". It matches the Rfam family "Eukaryotic large subunit ribosomal RNA", at positions 93 to 932 of the family's 3401-position model. The record is from RNAcentral. Lineage: Eukaryota; Fungi; Basidiomycota; Agaricomycetes; Agaricales; Agaricaceae.